This 553-nucleotide long non-coding RNA is filed under the name Physcomitrium patens. Its description in RNAcentral is "long non-coding RNA (PPAT_LNC001889)". Lineage: Eukaryota; Viridiplantae; Streptophyta; Bryopsida; Funariales; Funariaceae. The record is from RNAcentral.
AGGAAUUACUAGGCUUUGGUUUAGGAUUUAGGAUUUGGUUUAAAAUUUGGUUAGGGUUUGAUUUAGGAUUUAGGAUUUGAUUAGGAUAUGAUUUAGGGUUUAGGAUUUGAUUAGGAUUUGAUUUAGGGUUUAGGAUUUGUUUAGGAUUUGUUUAGGAUUUAAGAUUUAGUUAAUUUUUGGCCUAAAGUUUGAAUGAAGUCCGAUAGGAUUUUAAUUAGGAUUAAAUUAAGAUUGAAUUGAGAUGUAUUUGAGAUAUAUUUGUGAUCAUUCUAAUAUUUCUUUAAGGUUUCUUAUUUUUUCUUUGUAAUUCCUUUAAGAUUUCUUUGAAUUUGAUUAAAGCUUAUUUAGCAUUGUUAUGGUCUAAUUAGAGUUUAGUUAGUAUUCUAUUAGAGUUAAGAUUUUGUUGUUGCAAUUUCCAUUCUACCAUCCAUAGUUAAGUACUUAGAGCAUUUUUAAGCAAGACUUCACGUAUUACGACAAUGGACAUACAACUAAAGAAGGUUCCAAAAGGUUCUAAAAGAUCUAGAAGAUUAUAGAAGGUUUCAAUAGAUUC